RNAcentral lists this ribosomal RNA (468 nucleotides) under uncultured bacterium. RNAcentral's name for it is "partial 16S ribosomal RNA". It matches the Rfam family "Bacterial small subunit ribosomal RNA", at positions 28 to 507 of the family's 1533-position model. The record is from RNAcentral.
GACGAACGCUGGCGGCGUGCUUAACACAUGCAAGUCGAACGGAAAGGCCCUGCUUUUGUGGGGUGCUCGAGUGGCGAACGGGUGAGUAACACGUGAGUAACCUGCCCUUGACUUUGGGAUAACUUCAGGAAACUGGGGCUAAUACCGGAUAGGAGCUCCUGCUGCAUGGUGGGGGUUGGAAAGUUUCGGCGGUUGGGGAUGGACUCGCGGCUUAUCAGCUUGUUGGUGGGGUAGUGGCUUACCAAGGCUUUGACGGGUAGCCGGCCUGAGAGGGUGACCGGCCAAAUUGGGACUGAGAUACGGCCCAGACUACUACGGGAGGCAGCAGUGGGGAAUAUUGCACAAUGGGCGGAAGCCUGAUGCAGAAACGCCGCGUGCGGGAUGACGGCCUUCGGGUUGUAAACCGCUUUCGCCUGUGACGAAGCGUGAGUGACGGUAAUGGGUAAAGAAGCACCGGCUAACUACGUG